ACGCUGGCGGAAUGCUUUACACAUGCAAGUCGAACGAAUGAACCUUAACUUGCUAGGGGGAUUAGUGGCGGACGGGUGAGUAAUAUAUCGGAACGUGUCCAUUAAUGGGGGAUAACUAGCCGAAAGGUUGGCUAAUACCGCAUACGCCCUGAGGGGGAAAGCUGGGGAUCUUCGGACCUGGCGUUAAUGGAGCGGCCGAUACCUGAUUAGCUAGUUGGUAGGGUAAUGGCCUACCAAGGCAACGAUCANUAGCUGGUCUGAGAGGACGACCAGCCACACUGGGACUGAGACACGGCCCAGACUCCUACNGGAGGCAGCANUGGGGAAUUUUGGACAAUGGGGGCAACCCUGAUCCAGCCAUUCCGCGUGAGUGAAGAAGGCCUUCGGGUUGUAAAGCUCCUUCGCAAGGGAAGAAAAGAUACAGGUUAAUAGCUUGNGUUGAUGACCGUACCUUGACNAGAAGCACCGGCUAACUACGUGCCAGCAGCCGCGGUAAUACGUAGGGUGCAAGCGUUAAUCGGAAUUACUGGGCGUAAAGCGUGCGCAGGCUGUUUG
RNAcentral lists this ribosomal RNA (555 nucleotides) under uncultured Methylophilus sp. Its description in RNAcentral is "bacterial SSU rRNA". It matches the Rfam family "Bacterial small subunit ribosomal RNA", at positions 33 to 582 of the family's 1533-position model. Lineage: Bacteria; Pseudomonadati; Pseudomonadota; Betaproteobacteria; Nitrosomonadales; Methylophilaceae. The record is from RNAcentral.